RNAcentral lists this ribosomal RNA (180 nucleotides) under Triticum aestivum (bread wheat). Its description in RNAcentral is "partial small subunit ribosomal RNA". The record is from RNAcentral. Lineage: Eukaryota; Viridiplantae; Streptophyta; Magnoliopsida; Poales; Poaceae.
AUGUUGGUUGAACUUAAAAGGCAUGUCAUGUUUCCUACUGUUUAUUGCCUCGUUGAGUUGGCAUUGCUACUACCGGUAGCGACGACAACAGUUGAAAGGGCCUUCUUAUCAAUGAAAAGCAUCAAGACUGAGUUGCGCAGCAAGAUGACCGAUGGUUGGCUUAAUGACUUGAUUGUUUGA